Molecule: ribosomal RNA, 384 nt
Filed under: uncultured bacterium
Lineage: Bacteria
Description: bacterial SSU rRNA
Rfam family: Bacterial small subunit ribosomal RNA
Source: RNAcentral
GACGAACGCUGGCGGCGUGCUUAACACAUGCAAGUCGAGCGGUAAGGCCCUUCGGGUACACGAGCGGCGAACGGGUGAGUAACACGUGGGUGACCUGCCCUUAGCUCUGGGAUAAGCCUGGGAAACUGGGUCUAAUACCGGAUAUGACCUCAUGACGCAUGUUGUGGGGUGGAAAGCCUUGUGCGGCUAGGGAUGGGCCCGCGGCCUAUCAGCUUGUUGGUGGGGUGAUGGCCACCAAGGCGACGACGGGUAGCCGGCCUGAGAGGGCGACCGGCCACACUGGGACUGAGACACGGCCCAGACUCCUACGGGAGGCAGCAGUGGGGAAUAUUGCACAAUGGGCGAAAGCCUGAUGCAGCGACGCCGCGUGAGGGAUGACGGCCU